This 343-nucleotide ribosomal RNA is filed under the name Escherichia coli. RNAcentral's name for it is "bacterial SSU rRNA". It matches the Rfam family "Bacterial small subunit ribosomal RNA", at positions 1191 to 1533 of the family's 1533-position model. The record is from RNAcentral. Lineage: Bacteria; Pseudomonadati; Pseudomonadota; Gammaproteobacteria; Enterobacterales; Enterobacteriaceae.
CAUCAUGGCCCUUACGACCAGGGCUACACACGUGCUACAAUGGCGCAUACAAAGAGAAGCGACCUCGCGAGAGCAAGCGGACCUCAUAAAGUGCGUCGUAGUCCGGAUUGGAGUCUGCAACUCGACUCCAUGAAGUCGGAAUCGCUAGUAAUCGUGGAUCAGAAUGCCACGGUGAAUACGUUCCCGGGCCUUGUACACACCGCCCGUCACACCAUGGGAGUGGGUUGCAAAAGAAGUAGGUAGCUUAACCUUCGGGAGGGCGCUUACCACUUUGUGAUUCAUGACUGGGGUGAAGUCGUAACAAGGUAACCGUAGGGGAACCUGCGGUUGGAUCACCUCCUUA